AAGUCGUAACAAGGUAACCGUAGGUGAACCUGCGGUUGGAUCAUUAACAAAUUGAACAGAACUUUGCUUUGAUUUUUAUCAAGCAAUUUUCUCAACCUUAUGUGAACUGUUUAUUGUCUCUUGGUAGGUUUAAAAUUCUUGGAGGAACGUGGUGUUACUACGUUUUUUUUGAGGAUUACUCUACCAAAUUUAUAUUGUAAACUUUAUAUGUAAUAAAUUUUGUCUAAAAACUUUAAAUUAUUUUAAUUUAAAAAACAACUUUUGACAACGGAUCUCUAGGCUCUC
Molecule: unclassified non-coding RNA, 285 nt
Filed under: fungal sp.
Lineage: Eukaryota; Fungi
Description: partial internal transcribed spacer region
Rfam family: Eukaryotic small subunit ribosomal RNA (bases 1-46)
Source: RNAcentral